RNAcentral lists this ribosomal RNA (497 nucleotides) under uncultured bacterium. RNAcentral describes it as "partial 16S ribosomal RNA". It matches the Rfam family "Bacterial small subunit ribosomal RNA", at positions 28 to 507 of the family's 1533-position model. The record is from RNAcentral.
GAUGAACGCUGGCGGCGUGCCUAAUACAUGCAAGUCGAGCGAACGGACGAGAAGCUUGCUUUUCUGAUGUUAGCGGCGGACGGGUGAGUAACACGUGGAUAACCUACCUAUAAGACUGGGAUAACUUCGGGAAACCGGAGCUAAUAUCGGAUAAUAUUUUGAACCGCAUGGUUCAAAAGUGAAAGACGGUCUUGCUGUCACUUAUAGAUGGAUCCGCGCUGCAUUAGCUAGUUGGUAAGGUAACGGCUUACCAAGGCAACGAUGCAUAGCCGACCUGAGAGGGUGAUCGGCCACACUGGAACUGAGACACGGUCCAGACUCCUACGGGAGGCAGCAGUAGGGAAUCUUCCGCAAUGGGCGAAAGCCUGACGGAGCAACGCCGCGUGAGUGAUGAGGGUCUUCGGAUCGUAAAACUCUGUUAUUAGGGAAGAACAUAUGUGUAAGUAACUGUGCACAUCUUGACGGUACCUAAUCAGAAAGCCACGGCUAACUACGUG